This 329-nucleotide unclassified non-coding RNA is filed under the name soil metagenome. RNAcentral's name for it is "partial contains 5.8S ribosomal RNA, internal transcribed spacer 2, and large subunit ribosomal RNA". The stretch from base 1 to 120 matches the Rfam family "5.8S ribosomal RNA", at positions 35 to 154 of the family's 154-position model. The record is from RNAcentral.
GAUGAAGAACGUAGCGAAAUGCGAUAAGUAAUGUGAAUUGCAGAAUUCAGUGAAUCAUCGAAUCUUUGAACGCACAUUGCGCCCCUUGGUAUUCCGAGGGGCAUGCCUGUUCGAGCGUCAUUAUAACCCCUCAAGCUCAGCUUGGUGUUGGGGCCUGCUGCACUGGCAGCCCUUAAAAUCAGUGGCGGCGCCAUCUGGCUCUAAGCGUAGUAAUUCUUCUCGCUAUGCAGUCCUGGUGGAUGCUUGCCAUCAACCCCCAAUUUUUCUAUGGUUGACCUCGGAUCAGGUAGGGAUACCCGCUGAACUUAAGCAUAUCAAUAAGCGGAGGA